Molecule: ribosomal RNA, 465 nt
Filed under: uncultured bacterium
Lineage: Bacteria
Description: partial 16S ribosomal RNA
Rfam family: Bacterial small subunit ribosomal RNA
Source: RNAcentral
GACGAACGCUGGCGGCGUGCUUAACACAUGCAAGUCGAACGGAAAGGCCCUGCUUGCAGGGUACUCGAGUGGCGAACGGGUGAGUAACACGUGGGUGAUCUGCCCUGCACUUCGGGAUAAGCCUGGGAAACUGGGUCUAAUACCGGAUAGGAGCCAUUUUUAGUGUGAUGGUUGGAAAGUUUUUUCGGUGUAGGAUGAGCUCGCGGCCUAUCAGCUUGUUGGUGGGGUAAUGGCCUACCAAGGCGGCGACGGGUAGCCGGCCUGAGAGGGUGGACGGCCACAUUGGGACUGAGAGACGUCCCAGACUCCUACGGGAGGCAGCAGUGGGGAAUAUUGCACAAUGGGCGCAAGCCUGAUGCAGCGACGCCGCGUGGGGGAUGACGGCCUUCGGGUUGUAAACUCCUUUCGCUAGGGACGAAGCUUUUUGUGACGGUACCUAGAUAAGAAGCACCGGCUAACUACGUG